UACGUAGGUGGCAAGCGUUGUCCGGAUUUACUGGGCGUAAAGGAUGCGUAGGCGGACAUUUAAGUCAGAUGUGAAAUACCCGAGCUUAACUUGGGUGCUGCAUUUGAAACUGGGUGUCUAGAGUGCAGGAGAGGUAAGUGGAAUUCCUAGUGUAGCGGUGAAAUGCGUAGAGAUUAGGAAGAACACCAGUGGCGAAGGCGACUUUCUGGCCUGUUCUUGACGCUGAGGCGCGAAAGCUAGGGGAGCAAACGGG
Molecule: ribosomal RNA, 253 nt
Filed under: uncultured bacterium
Lineage: Bacteria
Description: partial 16S ribosomal RNA
Rfam family: Bacterial small subunit ribosomal RNA
Source: RNAcentral